AUGUCCAGCCCCCCUCCUCCGGACGCCGGGUUGCCGCCGGUGACUCCAGUUCCGCCUACUCCGGUGACCCCAUCACCGGUGACUCCAGUUCCGCCUACUCCGGUGACCCCAUCUCCGGUUACUCCAGUUCCGCCUACUCCAUCGCCCGUAGCAAUUCCGCCUUCUCCGGUAGCAGUUCCGCCUACUCCGGUCCAGGCGGAUCCUCCCACCAUCGUGAAUCCUCCAGUGCUACCCCCGGUGAAUUCUCCUCCACCGCCUUCACCGCCACCACCUUCACCAAGGCCGCCAACGACGCCGAACCCAACGCCGGUAACACCGUCCCCAUCUCCACCAAGGCCCACGCCGACGCCAAACCCAACGCCAGUAACACCGUCCCCGCCUCCACCAAGGCAAACUCCCACGCCAACACCAACUCCUCGCAGGCCGCCGCCGUCCUCCCCAGCGCCGCCUGACGCCACGCCUCCACCUCCUGAGGACGUCCCAUCUUCGCCGCCGCUCCCGAUCGACGCCCCAGCUGCAACAGCGCCUCCGCCCUCAGCUCUUACGUUUUAUCCGCCGCCGCCGCCGCAGUCAGCAGAAGCGCCGUCGACAUCCGCCAAGUCCUCGUCAAGCAGCGGGACCGCGUUGGGCGUGGGCGUGGCCGUCGGGGCAGUGGUCUUGCUUGGCCUCGCGGCCGCGCUGAUCUUCUUCUUCGUCUCCAAGCGGCGCCGUCGCCGUAGGGUACCGCCGCCGGGGACCCCAGGCCUUGCUGUUGCGAGUAGGCAACCGAAGUUGGUGAGGUUGCUGAGCGAGCUGCUCGCGGGGUUUUGGUUACCGGGCGGCAAAAUUCGUUACGGCUCGCUAUUCAAAAAAUCUCAGGGUGGGUCGUGGCCCACCCUGUCCACCCUCUACCUCCACCUUGAUGGGAUGUCACGGUUAUGUCGGUGUCUAUGUGAGAUCCUCAGGAUGCGUGCCUUGACCACCAACAUGGUUGCGCCUUCUGACGAGGCCAUCUGUCAGGUAGCAGGCAUGGGCCGCAUUGUGGCCUAG
This 1029-nucleotide ribosomal RNA is filed under the name Triticum aestivum (bread wheat). RNAcentral's name for it is "partial small subunit ribosomal RNA". Lineage: Eukaryota; Viridiplantae; Streptophyta; Magnoliopsida; Poales; Poaceae. The record is from RNAcentral.